Molecule: RNA transcript, 1254 nt
Organism: Populus nigra (black poplar)
Lineage: Eukaryota; Viridiplantae; Streptophyta; Magnoliopsida; Malpighiales; Salicaceae
Gene name: thioredoxin Y1, chloroplastic-like
Exons: 5
Source: RefSeq, a predicted model, not a curated record
AACACCGCUGGACUAGGACUAAAGGACAGUUCUCCCAUGCUCUCACUUCUCCAUUUUCUGCAAACGGACAGACCCUGUCUUACAAAAUCAGGCGGCUUCUCCCCAAAAGAUGGGACCCAAUAAACCAUUCGAACCAAACAUCCCCACCAUCCAACGAAUCAGAAUCCACCGAACCUUGAAACUAUCCUAUCUCCGUCUCUCAGCAAAGGCUGGCCGGACAAAAAUAGAACGUCUGCCUUUUACCGAGCAGAUAUUUUUCCCCGCCGAUUACUAUAUUAAAAAAAAUGGAGAUUUCUUAUCUCUCGGCAUCAACGAUUCCUUCAUUGAAUACUCCCAACUCCACUUCUAAUUACUCCUCCAAAAUAUCUUCAUUUUCUUCUCUCCAGUUUCCAGUACAGCUUCAUCGACUCCAGUUUCGAAAGAGAUGGAUUACCUCUCCUUCCCGACCCCCAAUUUUGCCAGUGAUUGCAGCAAAGAAGCAAACUUUUUCCACCUUAGAUGAGUUGCUAGAAAAGUCUGACAAACCUGUUUUGGUUGACUUUUAUGCAACCUGGUGUGGUCCCUGUCAAUUUAUGGCUCCAAUUCUAAAUGAAGUCAGUGCUGUCCUGGAAGACACGGUCCAGGUGGUGAAAAUCGACACUGAGAAAUAUCCUAGCAUUGCUGAUAAAUACAGAAUAGAGGCCUUGCCUACUUUUAUCAUAUUCAAGGAUGGAAAGCCUUAUGAUCGUUUUGUUAUUCCUUACAAGUAAACUGCACAACAAGAAUCAAAGAGAGGAUAAAGAUUUGCAUGUUGACCACAAGGCCUGCGUCCAUUAGAGGAGAGGGAUUCACCUCCCUCAACUUUAUAAUGAGGGUGCUUUGACUAAAGAUCAGCUCAUCCAACGCAUUGAAAAUUCACUGAAUGUCGAGCAAUAGCAACGCCCGGCUUGUUUGUAUCCAUUUUAUUUUAUUUCCAUAAUGUAUCUACAGAUCAUGAAAUUGCAGUCGAAUUGUUCUCACUCUCAUGCUCAUUUAUGUUAUUUGGCUCGCAGUUCCAAGAUCGAUACAAUAUGAAGCUAGUAUGUUUGGAUUCUUUACGGCUGAUCACCUUCCCCGUCCCAUCACUCCCUUCUUUUCUUUUUUCCUUUUUAGUCUCUCCAUGUUUGAAAUUCGUGAACGUAGAAAUAGUGACAGAAAUUGUUUAGGUUAGGUUCCUGAAUGUGGUGAUUGUUUUAACUUUGGAAGUUUUGCUAAUGAUUUGCAUCUGUUUUGUAA